GCUGGGGUGGUGGAAUCGGCAGACACGUCAGCCUUAAGAGCUGAUGAGACGGUUGUCUCGUGUGGGUUCAAGUCCCGCCCUCAGCA
Candidatus Blackburnbacteria bacterium is the source of this 86-nucleotide non-coding RNA. The record is from Rfam. Lineage: Bacteria; Candidatus Blackburniibacteriota.